Molecule: long non-coding RNA, 2315 nt
Organism: Bos taurus (domestic cattle)
Lineage: Eukaryota; Metazoa; Chordata; Mammalia; Artiodactyla; Bovidae
Source: Ensembl
GGUUAAAGGAAUGCAGUGUGGUGGUGGUGGCCUGUGGGGGGUUGGCUGAAGCCCACUGCCUUCCCAGCUCCUGUGGGGAAGUGUUUUGAGGGGCUGAGGACUGAGGAAGUGGUCAGCUGCUGUUGCUGCUGCUUGGGUUGGGCAGGAGCUGAAGGGUCCAGCUCGCACUCCCUGGGACUGCUUCUGGGUCGGCAGCAGCCCUCGGUGACCACGCCUUCCCCCAACACCUCCAGCACCGAAGACUGAGCCUCUCACACGGCCGAGUGUGUGGAACUUCUCAUCUGUGACGCAUCUCUUCACUCAUCUGACUGCUCUUGUCUGAUUAUAAGCCUCUGAAUAGCAGGGAUUAUGUGUUGCUGGCUCUUUGUAGCACACAUAUGCUCAAAAAAAUUGUUGUUGGUGACAAUAAGAUUGCUGGCGAGUGUCAUCUCUUCACCCUUUGCCAUGGGGGCAGACAGCCGUGGCCGGCUGCCUGUUUGAGACUUGCCUUUUAGGCUUUAGUGGGCGUGGCAUGAUUUUAGAGGUCCGGCCAAGAUGAGAUCUUUAAUUUGUUUUGCUUCAGCUAAGUGAGCUCACUCACAUUCCCUAAGCAGGUACAUACUGGGCCGCCUGAGUGGGGGUGGCCUGGAGCACGUGAGCCGAGAGGGAGAAAUCCCUCCACCUCUUAAGAUGUUCUUUGCAUCAUACACAGAGGACCAAGAGACCAGGCCCAGGGAGGGCUUCCAGCAGUGACUGGGGUUGGCUGCUGAAGAUUCCUGUGAUCUCCAGGAUAAUUAUGCUAAUGUCGCUGUUCUGUGUGGGAAAGACCACUUGGCUUUCAGAAAUGUCCACUGUCAGCUGUGUACUUACACCAGGAGGGGGUAAAGAACUUCAAACUGGGAGCAAGUAUGAGAUUCACACAGAAGGGCAUCUGGAAAACUUCCUGCCAUACCCUUCAGAGAUACAUUCUCAGCCUGGAGGGGAUGUGCUUCCUCUUGGCUCUGAAGACCUGCUGGAGUCUAGUCUAGACUAUCUCUACCAAUGAGCAGGUGUGCAGCUCAGACUGCUGUGCUCAACCUCCCAGACCCCAGGCUUUACUUCUAAUAAAGUAGAAAUCGUGCCUGCCUGGCCUACCUCACAGGGUUAUGAGAACUGUAGAUGUUAGAAUUUCAGGGAUAAAAAAUGAUCAACCCUGUUCUCACUAUCCAUGAGGCCCAGAGAGGAUUAAAAAACUCAUCCAAGGUUGCGCAUCUAGUGGCAGAGCUAGACCUCAGGUCUCGUGGCUCCUCUCUUUGUUGAUCUUCUUAUUGUUGCACGUAUCAUGCUUUAUUUGUUCACUUGUUCACCAUCCACACGGAAGUGUAAGCCCCUAGAGGGUGGGGAUCCACUCUCAUGCUCCUUUGUUUCUCUGGAGCCUGGUGCAUACUAAAGGAGCUUAAUAAAUGUGUGUUGAACUGAUCUUGGCUCCUAGUUCACAUGCUCCUUCCCUCUAUACCAUGCCGUCUCUGAUCUCAGAAAUCUGCACUGCCAGUCCAGCUGCCCUCAGAAAGUAUGAAAACUUGCAGAUGUUUUAGAGAAAAAGAAAAGAUGCUCAACUACCUUGCAAUGUCGAUUAGCAUCUUUUAGAGCACAGAAUCCAUCUGAACAAAGACAUACACAUCUAAGACAAAAUUGGAAUAAUAACAAUGAAUGCUAAUUAAGAGCUUAUAAUAAGGCCAGGCAUUGUGCGAAGCACUUCACACACAUAGUAAGUGCUUAAUAAAAAGUUAUUAUCUUUUUUCACUAUGAUGUAAACUGAGCAGGGGGUUGGAAUAUGCUAGCUUCUGUAAUACCUGCAUUUCAGAGGCUUAUCUGAGUAAAGAUCUCUUUGUGGCUCACACCGCAGACUAACACAGGUCAACCACAUGGAAAAGCGUUGCUGCAUCCAGGGCUUUUGAACAUAGAGGCUCAUACAGGAUGUGUUUUAGGGGAUGUGGUAGAUGAGGCUACCAGGUACCAAUUUUUCCUUUCCUUUCCUUGUGGGUAUGUAGAAGGACUGCACUUCCGGGUCUGUUUGAAGGUGGGUGUCAGGUGACACCAGAGCUUUAACCAUGGAAAGGUGACAUGUCGUUUCCUGGUGGAAACAUUUAAGAACCAGUGCACACUCCUCCAUAUUCUAUACUGCCCCCUCCUCCACUGCCAGUCAUAAUUUUUCUAUUUGGAGGCUUCCUAAGACUGAAGCCUUCUGAAAUGCUAAGUCAGUAUGUGGAGGAUGGGUUCCCUGGAGGGUGUCUGAAUCUGCAGCAGAUGUGUAAGGGAGAAAGCCUCUGAGAUUUUGGAUUUGUUGUGAUCAUAGC